This 204-nucleotide ribosomal RNA is filed under the name uncultured bacterium. RNAcentral's name for it is "partial 16S ribosomal RNA". It matches the Rfam family "Bacterial small subunit ribosomal RNA", at positions 524 to 725 of the family's 1533-position model. The record is from RNAcentral.
UACGGAGGGGGGCAAGCGUUUGUUCGGAAUUACUGGGCGUAAAGGGCGCGCAGGCGGCUGCUCAAGUCAGGGGUGAAAUCCCGGGGCUCAACCUCGGAACUGCCUUUGAUACAGCAAGUCUUGAGUUCGAGAGAGGUGGGUGGAAUUCCUAGUGUAGAGGUGAAAUUCGUAGAUAUUAGGAAGAACACCGGUGGCGAAGGCGGC